RNAcentral lists this ribosomal RNA (429 nucleotides) under Chloroflexota bacterium. Its description in RNAcentral is "Chloroflexi bacterium partial 16S ribosomal RNA". It matches the Rfam family "Bacterial small subunit ribosomal RNA", at positions 355 to 776 of the family's 1533-position model. Lineage: Bacteria; Bacillati; Chloroflexota. The record is from RNAcentral.
UGGGGAAUAUUGCACAAUGGGCGCAAGCCUGAUGCAGCCAUGCCGCGCGUAUGAAGAAGGCCUUCGGGCUGUAAAGUACUCUUAGCGGGGAGGAAGGGAGUAAAGUUAAUACCUUUGCUCAUUGACGUUACCCGCAGAAGAAGCACCGGCUAACUCCGUGCCAGCAGCCGCGGUAAUACGGAGGGUGCAAGCGUUAAUCGGAAUUACUGGGCGUAAAGCGCACGCAGGCGGUUUGUUAAGUCAGAUGUGAAAUCCCCGGGCUCAACCUGGGAACUGCAGCUGAUACUGGCAAGCUUGAGUCUCGUAGAGGGGGGUAGAAUGCCAGGUGUAGCGGUGAAAUGCGUAGAGAUCUGGGGGUAUACCGGUGGCGAAGGCGGCCCCCUGGACGAAGACUGACGCUCAGGUGCGAAAGCGGGGGUAGCAAACAGG